AAGCUUUACUUGCUUUCUUUUCAUCAUUUUAUUCGGUCAUUUCAGUUGAGUCUUUUACUUUUUUUUUAAUCCAUCCAGAUCUGUCAAGUCUUGUGCAUUGUAUGCAUUGAAUUUUUGUUUGUCUGCAAUUCUGUGUCAGUUGUGAGUUGUGUCUGUAUCCAUUGAUUAUGAGUUGCAAUACAUGUUGUUCACCAUUAAAAUAGCAAUGAAGUUCAAAUGAAUGAGCUCGGUGGCAAUGUGGCAAUCAGACCUGAAGAGAAAGUAAAAUGUAUAUUGCAAAUGUUUGAUACGGUAGAUGUGCUGAAAAUUCACUGUUUCAUUGGUUGUUUGUGGUUUACAAAGCCUCUGUAAAACUAAGUCCAGAGUGAAUACUAUAAAUC
RNAcentral lists this long non-coding RNA (380 nucleotides) under Vigna radiata. RNAcentral describes it as "long non-coding RNA (VRAD_LNC009868)". Lineage: Eukaryota; Viridiplantae; Streptophyta; Magnoliopsida; Fabales; Fabaceae. The record is from RNAcentral.